This 369-nucleotide unclassified non-coding RNA is filed under the name soil metagenome. RNAcentral describes it as "partial contains 5.8S ribosomal RNA, internal transcribed spacer 2, and large subunit ribosomal RNA". The stretch from base 1 to 120 matches the Rfam family "5.8S ribosomal RNA", at positions 35 to 154 of the family's 154-position model. The record is from RNAcentral.
GAUGAAGAACGUAGCGAAAUGCGAUAAGUAAUGUGAAUUGCAGAAUUCAGUGAACCAUCGAAUCUUUGAACGCACAUUGCGCCCGGCAGUAAUCUGCCGGGCAUGCCUGUCCGAGCGUCAUUUCUACCCUCGAGCGAGUCCAGCAUCUAGGUGCUGGGCCCGCCCGGCGUUGGAGCACUACGGGAAGCCCUGUGCUGUCCCCCGUAGGCCCCGAAAUGAAGUGGCGGUCCUGCCGCGGCGCCCCCUGCGUAGAAUAACAGCUCGCUUCGGGACCCGGUGGAGGCCUGCCGUCAAACCUAUACUCUCUAAGUUUGACCUCGGAUCAGGUAGGGUUACCCGCUGAACUUAAGCAUAUCAAUAAGCGGAGGA